GGUUUGAUUAUGACUCCUUUAAAAUUACUCUUUGGAAAUCUGAACCAAGUGAAUGAGAAUUCAAUACAUUCUUCUAUUAGAUGAGUUCC
Molecule: small nucleolar RNA, 89 nt
Organism: Suncus etruscus (white-toothed pygmy shrew)
Lineage: Eukaryota; Metazoa; Chordata; Mammalia; Eulipotyphla; Soricidae
Product: small nucleolar RNA SNORD116
Exons: 1
Source: RefSeq, a predicted model, not a curated record